AGAGUUUGAUCCUGGCUCAGGACGAACGCUGGCGGCGUGCCUAACACAUGCAAGUCGAGCGAGGUCCAUCCAGUGGCAACACUGGGGAAGAUCUAGCGGCGAACGGGUGAGUAACACGUGAAGAACCUGCCCCGAAGACUGGGAUAACUCUCCGAAAGGGGAGCUAAUACCGGAUGUCCACUUUUCAUCGCAUGGUGGUUUGUGGAAAUGGAUUCCGCUUCGGGAGGGCUUCGCGGCCUAUCAGCUUGUUGGUGAGGUAACGGCUCACCAAGGCGUCGACGGGUAGCUGGUCUGAGAGGACGAUCAGCCACACUGGGACUGAGACACGGCCCAGACUCCUACGGGAGGCAGCAGUUAGGAAUCUUGCGCAAUGGGCGAAAGCCUGACGCAGCAACGCCGCGUGGGGGAUGAAGGCCCUCGGGUUGUAAACCCCUUUCAGUCGGGACGAAAAUGACGGUACCGACAGAAGAAGCCCCGGCCAACUACGUGCCAGCAGCCGCGGUGACACGUAGGGGGCAAGCGUUGUCCGGAUUUAUUGGGCGUAAAGGGCUCGUAGGCGGUUCGACAAGUCGGGUGUGAAACCUCCAGGCUCAACCUGGAGUCGCCGCUCGAAACUGUUGUGACUAGAGUCCGGUAGAGGAGCAUGGAAUUUGUGGUGUAGCGGUGGAAUGCGCAGAUAUCACAAGGAACACCAGUAGCGAAGCGAUGCUCUGGGCCGGUACUGACGCUGAGGAGCGAAAGCAUGGGGAGCGAACAGGAUUAGAUACCCUAGUAGUCC
RNAcentral lists this ribosomal RNA (778 nucleotides) under uncultured bacterium. RNAcentral's name for it is "bacterial SSU rRNA". It matches the Rfam family "Bacterial small subunit ribosomal RNA", at positions 8 to 796 of the family's 1533-position model. The record is from RNAcentral.